Molecule: non-coding RNA, 705 nt
Organism: Pantherophis guttatus
Lineage: Eukaryota; Metazoa; Chordata; Lepidosauria; Squamata; Colubridae
Source: RefSeq, a predicted model, not a curated record
AGAAUAAAUAAGUGGCCUGAUAAAUUAAACAGACGACAAGAGAUCUGGAAACUUGAUUCACCAAAGUCCACCAAUAUUCUGCAUUUUCCCAGCCUUCCUAGGCAAUCCGGGAUGGAGAAAAGGUGGCAACCGAACGCAAAUAGUUUAUCUUGUGUUUGUGUGUGCACACGUAUAGAUGGACGCGAAGGACAAAUGGAACUGAGACGAGAGAGCAGGACAAAGGCGAGGAACUGUGGAGUAAAGAUAACUUUUUCGUGGGAAUACCUCUCUACUCUAUCCAGGGCCUUCCGAGCCAGCAGAACUAGAAGCAAGGAUCGCUCUGCAUGUCUACAGCCUUUAUUAAACACCAGUCCUUCAGGCACUGUCUUCAUGAAUUUCUGGACGAAUCUCCUUGAGACGCAGGACGUUGACCGAGGUCGGCCUUUUGGAUUCAUCCAGCGGCAUCUUUCUUCGGCUCAAAAGGCUGAGCGCUCCCUAGAAAUUCCUUGAAUAUUUGACAUGCAGCAAUUUAUUUCUUUUUUUUUAAAAAAAAGGGCCUGCUGCUCGCGGUUCCCAUCUAAUCUACUCUGCAGAUUUCAAUGCCUUCAACGGGGAAGGAGAAAGAGGUUGCCAGGCCUCCUGCGCGUUAAAAUGGGACAGUUUAGAAAGAUGAAUUCGUCUUGUGAGCAACCUGAUAGAUGUCAAAGAAUCAUCGCUUGGCAUUCA